AGAGUUUUGAUCCUGGCUCAGAUUGAACGCUGGCGGCAGGCCUAACACAUGCAAGUCGAGCGGAUGAGAGGAGCUUGCUCCUCGAUUCAGCGGCGGACGGGUGAGUAAUGCCUAGGAAUCUGCCUAGUAGUGGGGGACAACGUUUCGAAAGGAACGCUAAUACCGCAUACGUCCUACGGGAGAAAGUGGGGGAUCUUCGGACCUCACGCUAUUAGAUGAGCCUAGGUCGGAUUAGCUAGUUGGUAGGGUAAAGGCCUACCAAGGCGACGAUCCGUAACUGGUCUGAGAGGAUGAUCAGUCACACUGGAACUGAGACACGGUCCAGACUCCUACGGGAGGCAGCAGUGGGGAAUAUUGGGACAAUGGGCGAAAGCCUGAUCCAGCCAUGCCGCGUGUGUGAAGAAGGCCUUCGGGUCGUAAAGCACUUUAAGUUGGGGAGGAAGGGCUCAUAGCGAAUACCUGUGAGUUUUGACGUUACCAACNAGAAUAAGCACCGGCUAACUUCGUGCCAGCNAGCCGCGGUAAUACGNAGGGUGCAAGCGUUUAUCGGGAAUU
This 555-nucleotide ribosomal RNA is filed under the name uncultured Pseudomonadota bacterium. Its description in RNAcentral is "bacterial SSU rRNA". It matches the Rfam family "Bacterial small subunit ribosomal RNA", at positions 8 to 553 of the family's 1533-position model. Lineage: Bacteria; Pseudomonadati; Pseudomonadota. The record is from RNAcentral.